AACGAACGCUGGCGGCAGGCCUAACACAUGCAAGUCGAGCGAGACCUUCGGGUCUAGCGGCGGACGGGUGAGUAACGCGUGGGAACGUGCCCUUUUCUACGGAAUAGCCUCGGGAAACUGAGCGUAAUACCGUAUACGCCCUUUGGGGGAAAGAUUUAUCGGAGAAGGAUCGGCCCGCGUUGGAUUAGGUAGUUGGUGGGGUAAUGGCCUACCAAGCCUACGAUCCAUAGCUGGUUGGAGAGGAUAAUCAGCCACACUGGGACUGAGACACGGCCCAGACUCCUACGGGAGGCAGCAGUGGGGAAUCUUAGACAAUGGGAGCAACCCUGAUCUAGCCAUGCCGCGUGAGUGAUGAAGGCCUUAGGGUUGUAAAGCUCUUUCAGCUGGGAAGAUAAUGACGGUACCAGCAGAAGAAGCCCCGGCUAACUCCGUG
This 433-nucleotide ribosomal RNA is filed under the name uncultured bacterium. RNAcentral describes it as "partial 16S ribosomal RNA". It matches the Rfam family "Bacterial small subunit ribosomal RNA", at positions 29 to 507 of the family's 1533-position model. The record is from RNAcentral.